This 468-nucleotide ribosomal RNA is filed under the name uncultured bacterium. Its description in RNAcentral is "partial 16S ribosomal RNA". It matches the Rfam family "Bacterial small subunit ribosomal RNA", at positions 28 to 507 of the family's 1533-position model. The record is from RNAcentral.
GACGAACGCUGGCGGCGUGCUUAACACAUGCAAGUCGAACGGAAAGGCCCUGCUUUUGUGGGGUGCUCGAGUGGCGAACGGGUGAGUAACACGUGAGUAACCUGCCCUUGACUUUGGGAUAACUUCAGGAAACUGGGGCUAAUACCGGAUAGGAGCUCCUGCUGCAUGGGGGGGGUUGGAAAGUUUCGGCGGUUGGGGAUGGAUUCGCGGCUUAUCAGCUUGUUGGUGGGGUAGUGGCUUACCAAGGCUUUGACGGGUAGCCGGCCUGAGAGGGUGACCGGCCACCUUGGGACUGAGGUACGGCCCAGACUCCUACGGGAGGCAGCAGGGGGGAAUAUUGCACAAUGGGCGGAAGCCUGAUGCAGCAACGCCGCGUGCGGGAUGACGGCCUUCGGGUUGUAAACCGCUUUCGCCUGUGACGAAGCGUGAGUGACGGUAAUGGGUAAAGAAGCACCGGCUAACUACGUG